GUCUGUAACCAUAUUAUCACACCGAUGGAAGUUCUGUGACUGCUGCUGACUAAGAAUAAACAUAAAUAUGGUGUGGGGAAGACCUACACACAUCACGCUUUCCAGCUGAAUAAGCUUCUCGCCAGCAACUUACCUGUUCAUCCAGUUGUCUGACACCGAACUCCUCUGCUAAAGAGCUACUCACCUGCCUCUUACCUGAUCAUCCUGCUCCCCGAGACCCAUCAACACGCCACCUGCUUCCCCUGAACUCCGGUGUGGAGACAUUCUUCGCAGCACUCCUGUCAUUACUUAAGUUACAGUGGCAAGAAAACCUUGAAUGUGGGUCUCCACUCCUCCAUCAGCAUCAUCUGCGGCCUCCCAGGGUUGAGCCUCUCCAACUACUCUGCCUGUUCCUGUGCUGCCUCUACUCGCAGUCCCCAUUGACAACCAGCACAGGGUUUCCCAUCCAUGCAUCCAUCCAUCCCUGAACUCACCUCAGCCUUCAUUUGCCGCCUCCUCAUCUUCACUACACCCUUUGAGGAUCCUCCCACCUGCAACCCCAGGUUGUUCUCUUCAUCGUACUCACCAGUUGCCCAGUCGAUUCCUUCCCGUUCCUGUGACCUGUUGGGUUGGUGACAUUUCCCCUGUCUGUUCCUCAAAGCUAGUUAACAGUUUUGAGUGUUGCUCUCUGGGUCCACUCUUGUAAUUUCAGAUGGUAUAGGUCAUAAAACUAACUGGCAAUUCCAUUUCCUUCUUCCUUUCUUAUAUCAAACCCACAAACAAACUUGUGCAGCACAGUUUUAGCUCUAUUUAUCCAGUUCAGGAGUUGCAGUGCAGUUUUUGUAGAUGUUCUUACAGUAAAUAUGAUGGUGAGCAGUUUGCAUGAUUUUAGCUAGCAUGGGCACACACACACCUAAGCUGUGUUUUCAUUC
Molecule: long non-coding RNA, 911 nt
Organism: Monopterus albus (swamp eel)
Lineage: Eukaryota; Metazoa; Chordata; Actinopteri; Synbranchiformes; Synbranchidae
Exons: 4
Source: RefSeq, a predicted model, not a curated record